AAAACCAAUUCACCCCCCCACCUCUUGGCUUGUCAUCUUGGGCAACAAGUGGUAUCAGAGCGAGGUGCUCAUAUAGUAUUUGUUGAUCUCACAAUCAAGAGACAAAGAUCAUGACAACCCAAAUGGGAUGUUCUAUGAGUGAGGGGCAAUCCACAAAUAGACCUCGUCUAUUUAAUGGCACUAAUUACACAUACUGGAAAGCUAGGAUGAGGAUAUUCAUUCAAGCUCUAGACUAUGAAUUGUGGUAUAUUAUAACUAGAGGACCUCAUACACCCACAAUUAGUGUAGAGGGCACUAUCAUACCCAAACCAGAAAUGGAUUGGAAUGAAAGUGAUAGAAGACUAGCACAACUAAAUGCUAAAGCGAUUAAUGUACUUUACUGUUCACUAGAUGUAAGUGAAUUCAAUAGAAUAUCUACAUGCAUCUCCGCAAAAGAAAUUUGGGAUAAACUUGAG
RNAcentral lists this long non-coding RNA (455 nucleotides) under Phoenix dactylifera (date palm). Its description in RNAcentral is "long non-coding RNA (PDAC_LNC002076)". The record is from RNAcentral. Lineage: Eukaryota; Viridiplantae; Streptophyta; Magnoliopsida; Arecales; Arecaceae.